RNAcentral lists this non-coding RNA (28 nucleotides) under Bombyx mori (domestic silkworm). The record is from RNAcentral. Lineage: Eukaryota; Metazoa; Arthropoda; Insecta; Lepidoptera; Bombycidae.
UAUCUUACAAUCCAUCCGUCAUAUAUGC